CCUACGGGAGGCAGCAGUGGGGGAUAUUGCACAAUGGGGGGAACCCUGAUGCAGCGACGCCGCGUGGGUGAAGAAGCGCCUCGGCGCGUAAAGCCCUAUCAGCAGGGAAGAAAAUGACGGUACCUGAAUAAGAAGCCCCGGCUAACUACGUGCCAGCAGCCGCGGUAAUACGUAGGGGGCAAGCGUUAUCAGGCUUUACUGGGUGUAAAGGGGGCGCAGACGGGGAUGCAAGUCAGAAGUGAAAGCCCGGGGCCCAACCCCGGGACUGCUCUUGAAACUGGGUAGCUGGAGUGCAGGAGGGGUAAGCGGAAUUCCUGGUGUAGCGGUGAAAUGCGUAGAUAUCAGGAGGAACACCGGUGGCGAAGGCGGCCUGCUGGACUGCAACUGACGUUGAGGCCCGAAAGCGUGGGGAGCAAACAGGAUUAGAUACCCUUGUAGUC
This 440-nucleotide ribosomal RNA is filed under the name uncultured bacterium. RNAcentral's name for it is "partial 16S ribosomal RNA". It matches the Rfam family "Bacterial small subunit ribosomal RNA", at positions 338 to 795 of the family's 1533-position model. The record is from RNAcentral.